RNAcentral lists this ribosomal RNA (460 nucleotides) under uncultured bacterium. Its description in RNAcentral is "partial 16S ribosomal RNA". It matches the Rfam family "Bacterial small subunit ribosomal RNA", at positions 338 to 795 of the family's 1533-position model. The record is from RNAcentral.
CCUACGGGUGGCAGCAGUGAGGAAUAUUGGUCAAUGGGCGCGAGCCUGAACCAGCCAAGUAGCGUGAAGGAUGACUGCCCUACGGGUUGUAAACUUCUUUUAUAAAGGAAUAAAGUGAGGCACGUGAGCCUGUAUGUAUGUACUUUAAGAAUAAGGAACGGCUAACUCCGUGCCAGCAGCCGCGGUAAUACGGAGGAUCCGAGCGUUAUCCGGAUUUAUUGGGUUUAAAGGGAGCGUAGAUGGGUUGUUAAGUCAGUUGUGAAGGUUUGGGGCUCAACCGUAAAAUUGCAAUUGAUACUGGCAGUCUUGAGUACAGUGGAGGCAGGCGGAAUUCGUGGUGUAGCGGUGAAAUGCUUAGAUAUCACGAAGAACUCCGAUUGCGAAGGCAGCUUACUAAACUGCCACUGACAUUGAUGCUCGAAAGUGUGGGUAUCAAACAGGAUUAGAUACCCGGGUAGUC